GACGAACGCUGGCGGCGUGCUUAACACAUGCAAGUCGAGCGGUAAGGCCCUUUCGGGGGUACACGAGCGGCGAACGGGUGAGUAACACGUGGGUGACCUGCCCUCAGCUCUGGGAUAAGCCUGGGAAACCGGGGUCUAAUACCGGAUAUGACUCCAUGACGCAUGUUGUGGGGUGGAAAGCCUUGUGCGGCUGAGGAUGGGCCCGCGGCCUAUCAGCUUGUUGGUGGGGUGAGGCCUACCAAGGCGACGACGGGUAGCCGGCCUGAGAGGGCGACCGGCCACACUGGGACUGAGACACGGCCCAGACUCCUACGGGAGGCAGCAGUGGGGAAUCUUGCGCAAUGGGCGAAAGCCUGACGCAGCGACGCCGCGUGAGGGAUGACGGCCUCGGUUGUAA
This 397-nucleotide ribosomal RNA is filed under the name uncultured bacterium. Its description in RNAcentral is "bacterial SSU rRNA". It matches the Rfam family "Bacterial small subunit ribosomal RNA", at positions 28 to 428 of the family's 1533-position model. The record is from RNAcentral.